Molecule: small RNA, 28 nt
Filed under: Bombyx mori (domestic silkworm)
Lineage: Eukaryota; Metazoa; Arthropoda; Insecta; Lepidoptera; Bombycidae
Description: ovarian small RNA-20525
Source: RNAcentral
UACCAAGAGAUGACAAAAGCCGUUGCAA